AUUGAACGCUGGCGGCAGGCCUAACACAUGCAAGUCGAACGAGUGGCGGACGGGUGAGUAAUGUAUGGGAAACUGCCCGAUGGAGGGGGAUAACUACUGGAAACGGUGGCUAAUACCGCAUACCAUCGGAUGAACCCAGAUGGGAUUAGCUUGUAGGUGAGGUAACGGCUUACCUAGGCGACGAUCCCUAGCUGGUCUGAGAGGAUGAGCAGCCACACUGGGACUGAGACACGGUCCAGACUCCUACGGGAGGCAGCAGUGGGGAAUAUUGCACAAUGGGCGCAAGCCUGAUGCAGCCAUGCCGCGUGUAUGAAGAAGGCCUUAGGGUUGUAAAGUACUUUCAGUGGGGAGGCGUUACCCACAGAAGAAGCACCGGCUAACUCCGUGCCAGCAGCCGCGGUAAUAC
Molecule: ribosomal RNA, 406 nt
Filed under: uncultured bacterium
Lineage: Bacteria
Description: partial 16S ribosomal RNA
Rfam family: Bacterial small subunit ribosomal RNA
Source: RNAcentral